CAGCCGCCGCGGUAAUGCGUAGGUGGCAAGCGUUGUCCGGAAUUAUUGGGCGUAAAGGGCUCGCAGGCGGUUUCUUAAGUCCGAUGUGAAAGCCCCCGGCUCAACCGGGGAGGGUCAUUGGAAACUGGGAAACUUGAGUGCAGAAGAGGAGAGUGGAAUUCCACGUGUAGCGGUGAAAUGCGUAGAGAUGUGGAGGAACACCAGUGGCGAAGGCGACUCUCUGGUCUGUAACUGACGCUGAGGAGCGAAAGCGUGGGGAGCGAACAGGAUUAGAUACCCCAGUAGUCCCUGUCUCUUAUAC
RNAcentral lists this ribosomal RNA (301 nucleotides) under uncultured bacterium. RNAcentral's name for it is "partial 16S ribosomal RNA". It matches the Rfam family "Bacterial small subunit ribosomal RNA", at positions 509 to 807 of the family's 1533-position model. The record is from RNAcentral.